UUUUCUUCUAGAUCCCACUGAGGGGACAGGGGAGUGAGUGAAUGGCUGCAUAGUGUUUGCUGCCUCCAAGUUAAACCACAAGGUGCUUCUGAAGACAUUUACCAAGCAAGAAUAAAACACUUUUUUGUCAAGUUCCCCUUAAGUCCCUGCAAAUUCUGUGGAUAUAUUUGAGAAAAGACUGUAAUGUACUGGAGCAGAGGAUUACUCUAAUGCAGUCACCUUUGAGGUGGAACAUGGGUAGCUCCCAAAAGAAAAAGAGAAAAGAAAUCUGGAACCAGCACUCAGGCCAAACUCUUUUUCCAUGGCCUGACUCUGUUUCUGUCUCAUUGUAUUAAUAUUGUCUCAGCUCCAGAUAGUGUCAGUAUCAGUUACGUUCCCUUCAGUGAGCCACAAAAAACACCUACAGCAUUUUGUGCACUCAACUGGAGGCAAUCUGCUAACGCUCAAAUGCUCAUUGAAUGGAAAAUGAUGCAACAGUUGGCUAGCUGGAAACAUUAUACUAUGUAAUAAACAACAUACUUUUCUGUUUUCUCCUCUCUGACCCAUCACAGACAGGCAUCCUUCUGUGUACCUCAUUUGUGGGAGACUGGACAGUUAAAACUCGGAUAAAGUAAUAGAGGAAGAAAAAAAAAACCUGUUGAGGAUGAACAAAACCAGCUGAAUUGUUCUUCCUUAGGUUUUAGUGCACCUGAUGUCCCAAAGAUUGUGACCCUCUUAAGAAAGAGCAAGAUAGUCUGGAUUUUACCCUCUUCCCUCACAAAUUGCCAGUAUAUAUGGGACAUUUUUUUCAACAUUUUGAGGACAUUUAUUAAUGGAUUGAGAGGUAUAGAGCUUGGUUUUCUUAGAAAGCAAAAUAAACACAAAGAAAUAUUUGC
This is a long non-coding RNA of Cygnus olor (mute swan), 875 nucleotides long. RefSeq lists it as uncharacterized. NCBI's taxonomy places the organism in Eukaryota, Metazoa, Chordata, Aves, Anseriformes, Anatidae. The record is from RefSeq and is a predicted model, not a curated record. The transcript has 2 exons.